Molecule: ribosomal RNA, 456 nt
Filed under: uncultured bacterium
Lineage: Bacteria
Description: bacterial SSU rRNA
Rfam family: Bacterial small subunit ribosomal RNA
Source: RNAcentral
AGCGAACGCUAGCGGCGGGCCUAACACAUGCAAGUCGAGCGCAUACCUUCGGGUAUGAGCGGCGGACGGGUGAGUAACGCGUAGGUCAUCUACCCUUUGGUGGGGGAUAACCCAGGGAAACUUGGGCUAAUACCGCACGAGGUCCACGGAUCAAAGCCUUCGGGCGCCAGAGGAUGAGCCUGCGUCGCAUUACCUAGUUGGCGGGGUAACGGCCCACCAAGGGGACGAUGCGUAGCUGGUCUGAGAGGAUGAUCAGCCACACUGGGACUGAGACACGGCCCAGACUCCUACGGGAGGCAGCAGUGGGGAAUAUUGCGCAAUGGGGGAAACCCUGACGCAGCCACGCCGCGUGGGUGAUGAAGGCCUUCGGGUUGUAAGACCCUGUCGGGAGGGACGAAUUCUUGACGGUACCUCCAAAGAAGACACCGCUAACUCCGUGCCAGCAGCCGCGGUAAU